Molecule: transfer RNA, 68 nt
Filed under: Marmota monax (woodchuck)
Lineage: Eukaryota; Metazoa; Chordata; Mammalia; Rodentia; Sciuridae
Description: tRNA.Ala
Rfam family: tRNA (bases 5-65)
About the family: Transfer RNA (tRNA) molecules are approximately 80 nucleotides in length.
Source: RNAcentral
GGUUUGUAGCUCAGUGGUAGAGCAUUUGCUUAGCAUGUAUGAGGCACUGGGUUUGAUCCUCAGCACCA